RNAcentral lists this transfer RNA (84 nucleotides) under Vischeria stellata. RNAcentral's name for it is "tRNA-Leu". It matches the Rfam family "tRNA". Rfam says of the family: Transfer RNA (tRNA) molecules are approximately 80 nucleotides in length. Their secondary structure includes four short double-helical elements and three loops (D, anti-codon, and T loops). The record is from RNAcentral. Lineage: Eukaryota; Eustigmatophyceae; Eustigmatales; Chlorobotryaceae.
GCACAUUUGGUGGAAUUGGUAGACACAACAGACUUAAAAUCUGUUACCUUAAAAGGUAUGUUGGUUCAAGUCCAAUAAUGUGUA